Molecule: unclassified non-coding RNA, 386 nt
Filed under: uncultured Chytridiomycota
Lineage: Eukaryota; Fungi; Chytridiomycota
Description: sequence contains ITS1
Rfam family: 5.8S ribosomal RNA (bases 1-101)
Source: RNAcentral
GAAAUGCGAUACGUAAUGUGAAUUGCAGAAUUCCGUGAAUCAUCGAAUCUUUGAACGCACAUUGCACUCUAUUUCGGUAGAGUAUGCCUGUUUGAGAAUCUAUAGUAUUUAUUCUGUAUUUUGUCUUUUUUAAAUAAAGCCUUUUUGCAGAGAUAUGAGUCUGACUCUCCUUGAGUCUUUCUUGAAAUCUAUAACUGAACUGUGCUAAGAGUGUUUGACUUUUUGCAAAGCAUCAGAAAAGUAUUUGAAUGGGAUUUAUCUCUUAUAAUGCCUAUUAAGAUGCAGUAAAAAUUAGCUCGACUGUGCUUUGCAGUCCAUAAACUUUUGAAGCCGUAAAAAGCUUGAACCAUGGUCUCAAAUCAGGUAGGAAUACCCGCUGAACUUAA